Molecule: small nucleolar RNA, 135 nt
Filed under: Peromyscus maniculatus bairdii (prairie deer mouse)
Lineage: Eukaryota; Metazoa; Chordata; Mammalia; Rodentia; Cricetidae
Description: Small nucleolar RNA SNORA33 (ENSPEMG00000006403.2)
Rfam family: Small nucleolar RNA SNORA33
About the family: ACA33 is a member of the H/ACA class of snoRNA that guide the sites of modification of uridines to pseudouridines.
Source: Rfam by way of RNAcentral
GAGCCAGCCAAUUAAUCUGCUUAUCUCAAUGUGCUUCUGCAGAAAUUUUGAGAAGGCUGGCAAUAGUGAUGCCAUGUUACGAGCCUUAAAGACAGCUGAAUGAAGUCUUUAAGGUCCCUGAAAAUGGCUACAGUG